GUCCGUCAUCUUGGAAAGGAAGAGAGGAGGACUGGAAAAUGAAAGUCAGCAGGGAGUUCAGAAUGACUUUGCUGGCCUCACCAUGCUGAAAUGAGUAGUUCAGAUAAAAACAUAUGAAGAGGGGUGCAAUGGCGCUGAAGGUUGGAUAGACAUUCGGUUGGUAGCUGAGCGAUCCCAGGAGCGAGGAAGCCGAGCCACUUUGUCUCAACCAUAGACUA
Fundulus heteroclitus (mummichog) is the source of this 218-nucleotide long non-coding RNA. RefSeq lists it as uncharacterized. The transcript is spliced from 3 exons. The record is from RefSeq and is a predicted model, not a curated record. NCBI's taxonomy places the organism in Eukaryota, Metazoa, Chordata, Actinopteri, Cyprinodontiformes, Fundulidae.